UUGACUAGUACCACAUCAAUAAAGCCUCACAGCUGCAUUGAAGCUCACUCCGAUAUGCAACUUCGGAAUCCAAAAGAAAAUCUAGUUCUCAUUGCGAAAUACUUGAUACACGAAAGUGGAGGAUAAAGUGUUAUACCAUAAUUGGUCCUUUGCCAACUUGUCCGAUUUUCAAAGGUAUAGGGAACACAUGGCAUCAUGACCUAGCGGUUUAAAGCAUGUGAUUUGAGCAACCUCAUAUGAUCCUAACGAUGUCACAAACAUCAGUACUUAGCUAAUCACCACAUGAGAUCGGUAAUGCGGUGAUGCCUACGUUGUCGGAUUUCUACUGAUCCUAUACCACUUCCACCUAGGCUCCCUAUAAGUCAUCCUCCAGAUCGGAUGCUCUCAGGAGCACCUAGCCAAUGGAUCUCGCUAGAUCGGUAUUCUGCUAUGUAGACCCACGAUCCCUUCGAAUAUAGGAACAGGCCUCAUGGUAGCCUGCUGACACCCA
Molecule: long non-coding RNA, 490 nt
Filed under: Elaeis guineensis (African oil palm)
Lineage: Eukaryota; Viridiplantae; Streptophyta; Magnoliopsida; Arecales; Arecaceae
Description: long non-coding RNA (EGUI_LNC007773)
Source: RNAcentral